Geobacillus sp. BCO2 is the source of this 125-nucleotide non-coding RNA. NCBI's taxonomy places the organism in Bacteria, Bacillati, Bacillota, Bacilli, Caryophanales, Anoxybacillaceae. The record is from Rfam.
CGGUGAUGUCUCCUUACCGUUAUCAAUGGAGGCACUCGGCCAUGCCGUGGGUGGGGACGAUGACGGUCCUGCCACCUUAGACGCCCGUCGUCGAGGGUGUGGCGUGAGGGCGGGUUAGAUGCCCG